CCAUUGGUGAUUCAGUGGUAGAAUUCUUGCUUCCCAUAUGGAAGAUCCAGGUUUGAUUCCUGGCCAAAGUA
This 71-nucleotide transfer RNA is filed under the name Loxodonta africana (African savanna elephant). It matches the Rfam family "tRNA". From Rfam's summary of the family: Transfer RNA (tRNA) molecules are approximately 80 nucleotides in length. Their secondary structure includes four short double-helical elements and three loops (D, anti-codon, and T loops). Lineage: Eukaryota; Metazoa; Chordata; Mammalia; Proboscidea; Elephantidae. The record is from Rfam by way of RNAcentral.